This 835-nucleotide ribosomal RNA is filed under the name Tulasnella calospora MUT 4182. RNAcentral's name for it is "Eukaryotic small subunit ribosomal RNA". It matches the Rfam family "Eukaryotic small subunit ribosomal RNA", at positions 351 to 1831 of the family's 1831-position model. The record is from Rfam by way of RNAcentral. Lineage: Eukaryota; Fungi; Basidiomycota; Agaricomycetes; Cantharellales; Tulasnellaceae.
GACGACGGGUAACGGGGAAUUAGAGUUCGAUUCCGGAGAAAGAGCAUGAGACACGGCUCUUACAUCCAAGGAAGGCAGCAGGCGCGCAAAUUACCCAAUACACACGUGUGUGAGGUAGCGACAGUACAUAACAAUGGGGCGCACGAGCAAUGUGACCUAAUUGGAAUGAGCCUAAUCUAAAGCUCUGAGUGAGCAACGAUUGGAGGGCAAGUCUGGUUCACCAGGGCAGGACAUGAUUAGGAUUGACAGACAUGACUGAUCUUUCAUGAUCUCAUGGGUGGUGGUGCAUGGCCGUUCUUAGUUCAUGGGGUGACUUGUCUGGUUGAUUCCGAUAACGAGCGAGACCGAGACCCAAGGUUGGCGCCGUUUCCCUCAUGUUCUUUGGGGCUUCGAGGGCGGCGCUCUUCUUGCGCCUUGGGGACCGGCACCCGGUUAAGGGCGUGGAGGUGCUUGGCAACAACAGGUCUGUGAUGCCCUUAGAUGUCCUGGGCCGCACGCGCGCUACACUGAUGCAGACAAUGGGCAUUCACCUAUUCCGAGAGGGCUGGGUAAUCCUGUGAGGCUGCAUCGUGCUGGGGAUCGAGCACUGGAACUGUGCUCGUGAACAUGGAAUGCCUUGUAAUCGUGAGUCAUCAACUCACGAUGAAUACGUCCCUGCCCUUUGUACACACCGCCCGUCGUUAUUUCCGAUCGAAUGGCUCGGUGAGGCGGUAGGAGCUUCGCGCGCGCCGGCUUGCUGGUCGCGAUGCGAGGCAAACACCUUCGAACUCGGCCAUUUAGAGGAAGUACAAGUCGUAACAAGGUUUCCGUAGGUGAACCUGCGGAAGGAUCAUAG